This 110-nucleotide long non-coding RNA is filed under the name Canis lupus familiaris (dog). RNAcentral's name for it is "lncRNA (ENSCAFG00000036208.3, ENSCAFG00845005650.1)". Lineage: Eukaryota; Metazoa; Chordata; Mammalia; Carnivora; Canidae. The record is from RNAcentral.
CUCAGCAUCUCCUGGUAGGCUUUUCCUCCUAAGGCCUGGCAGCCAAAAUAGGUUGGCUCGGGACCUUGUAUGGUGAAUAGCAUCAGCUGGCAAGGAGUCUAACAAACAGU